CGCCGUGUGGAGCAGUCUGGCAGCUCGCCGGGCUCAUAACCCGGAGGUCGCUAGUUCAAAUCUAGCCACGGCUACCA
This 77-nucleotide transfer RNA is filed under the name Gammaproteobacteria bacterium. RNAcentral's name for it is "tRNA-Met". It matches the Rfam family "tRNA". From Rfam's summary of the family: Transfer RNA (tRNA) molecules are approximately 80 nucleotides in length. Their secondary structure includes four short double-helical elements and three loops (D, anti-codon, and T loops). Lineage: Bacteria; Pseudomonadati; Pseudomonadota; Gammaproteobacteria. The record is from RNAcentral.